This 294-nucleotide ribosomal RNA is filed under the name uncultured bacterium. Its description in RNAcentral is "partial 16S ribosomal RNA". It matches the Rfam family "Archaeal small subunit ribosomal RNA", at positions 455 to 747 of the family's 1478-position model. The record is from RNAcentral.
GUGGCCAGCCGCCGCGGUAAUACCGGCAGCUCGAGUGAUGUCCAAUAUUAUUGGGCCUAAAGCGUCCGUAGCUGGCCGCGCAAGUCCGUCGGGAAAUCCACCUGCCCAACAGGUGGGCGUCCGGCGGAAACUGUGUGGCUUGGAACCGGAAGGCUCAGAGGGUACGUCCGGGGUAGGAGUGAAAUCCCGUAAUCCCGCACGGACCACCGAUGGCGAAAGCACUUCGAGAAAACGGAUCCGACAGUGAGGGACGAAAGCCAGGGUCUCCAACCGGAUUAGAUACCCGAGUAGUCC